GUGGAAAUACAAAUAAGUGUGUAUACCAAUUUUGAACAUGUGAGUAUUUUGAUAUGAUGACUUAUUGAAGCUAUUGGCACACUUGGGUAGGAUUCAGUGUGCAAAUUGAAACACAGCUCUCCUUCAAAGUUUUCACUUGCCCAAAGUCUGCAAUGCAGUUUUCUAACAAUUGCUUUUGGGAAAUGUGCGUAUUGCACAAAAACAGUAAAAAUGCACAUAUUAGCAGGAAGUGCGCAUAAAAACAUACCAGCGAAUAUGCCACACGAAACACAUUGUGUUGGAGGGAAAUGCUUGCAAGAGGUGCCUAUUGGAUAGAACUGGAUACAAAAGUGUAUGUUAGGAUAAUUUAACAGUAAAAUGCUGAUAAAUUUUCAUAUGGACAUGGACAGACACACACACACCUGAAGUUGAUGUGGAAAUGUGGUAAACCAAACUUCAUAUAGGAAAACAGAGAAACAGCUAAAAUUGCAUUGCUUUAUCAUGCAUGCCAACCAUAGCUUUAGUGAAAUCCAGCAAGCCAAUGCUUAUACACUGAUGAGAUGAUGAUUUUUUCUGUAAAGGAAAGCCCCAGAGUGGGGGGAGAUGCUAAAAAUUGGUUCAUCAUAGGGUGCAGGUGUUAAGUUGUGGGUGAACGUAUCAGACGACACAGCGAUUCUUCAACAGCUCUUGUUUAUUCACAGGCCAGAACAGAACAGAACAGAACUGAAGGGUUCAGCCAGCCUGCUUAUACAGAGCUCCACUACAACGCAACAGUAACAACUUUCCAGUCACUGAACGUGACUUUCAAUUCCUUAUUUGCAUAUGUGGACCUGAGUGAAAACUAUCUACCGUAUCCCCCUGCUGGCCCAGAGUGAAAACUUCAGUACAUAACAGCAGGCACAAUGUACAGCCUCAUCUUUACACAGUUCAGGUUAAAUGACCAAGGUGCAAUCCAGAUGCUCUCUGAGAGAAGGAUACGGAGAGUGAGCGAGCGUCAAAUGAAAAUAAAAUAGGUAAGAAGCAGGGCUGGCCCACCCAUGAGGUGGGGUGAAGCAGCUGCCUCAAGCAAUGGAAGUCCCUGAGGCAGUGCCCCCAUGAGUGCCCCCUCUGCUCUGCUGCUGCUACCACCGGUGGAGAACCAAUGCCAGCACCACUGGCAUCUCUGCUGGCAGUGAAGGAGGCACAGUGGGCAGUGUGGAGGUCUGUGGCACCAUUCACAUAACAAAAACUACCAUAUCAACAAUAUUAAAAGUAGGGGGUCCGUGGCUUGGCUUUUGAAAAACAGUGGGUCCACAGUACUUAGCUAAUUGGGAACCACUGUUCUAGAUCCUUAGCCUUGUGUUAAACCCACUGACCUCUGCAUACAGUGUCACAGUCGGUACAGCAUGAGGCUCUUAAUCUCAGGGUUGUGGGUUUGAGCCCCACAUUAGGUAAAAAGAUUCCUGCAUUGCAGGGAGUUGGGCUAAAUUAGGGCCAUACUGAGCGUGGCCUGAAGCCCUGGUUGCAUCUUGGCCAGCUUCCUGUCACAAAACUACCUAAGUAGGCACAGACUUGACUGCUCUCUUACAGCUUGGGUUUAACAGAGAACCUUUUAAGUUGGCCAGUUCUGGGAAUGCAUUCACCAUCUUGCAGUGUAGUAUUUAUAUUAAUAUGCAAUUAUUUUAUUUUCAAUCAUAUUUUUACUCAUUUGAAAGCUGGGAAACGGCAACUGUUGAUGCCUUAUUCUCUGGAAAAGGAGAGGCUUUGGGGGAAUUUUGCAUGCUCAGAAUUCCUGGCAUUUGAGAAGCAAAUUUUAUUGUCUUUUCCCAAUUUGUCUGAAGCAGUAAUUUGCCCUGUCUUUUCCAGUUCACAGAAGCACUGAUGUAAAAAGCCCAGAGUCUUCUGAUACAACUGUUUGCUUCUAUGGCAUCAUUUUCUUCCAGAGGAAAGGAGCUGCUGUUUCAUUGUGUAAGCUCUGCUCAAUUCUUCCCAAU
RNAcentral lists this long non-coding RNA (1952 nucleotides) under Podarcis lilfordi (Lilford's wall lizard). The record is from RNAcentral. Lineage: Eukaryota; Metazoa; Chordata; Lepidosauria; Squamata; Lacertidae.